GACGGACGCUGGCGGCGUGCCUAAUACAUGCAAGUCGAGCGCAUGCACCCGGCGGACCUCUUCGGAGGGAAACCGGGGAAUUGAGCGGCGGACGGGUGAGUAACACGUGGGCAACCUGCCCUCCAGACGGGGAUAACUCCGGGAAACCGGAGCUAAUACCCGAUAAUCAAGCCGAUCUCCUGAUCGGCUUGUAAAAGCAUGGUCUUCGGACCAUGCACUGGAGGAUGGGCCCGCGGCGUAUUAGCUAGUUGGAGAGGUAAGGGCUCCCCAAGGCGACGAUACGUAGACGACCUGAGAGGGUGAUCGGCCACACUGGGACUGAGACACGGCCCAGACUCCUACGGGAGGCAGCAGUAGGGAAUCAUCCGCAAUGGACGAAAGUCUGACGGUGCAACGCCGCGUGAGUGAUGAAGGUUUUCGGAUCGUAAAGCUCUGUUGUGAGGGAAGAACAAGGGCGGUUCUAACAGGGCCGCCCCCUGACGGUACCUCACCAGAAAGCCCCGGCUAACUACGUGC
RNAcentral lists this ribosomal RNA (516 nucleotides) under uncultured bacterium. Its description in RNAcentral is "partial 16S ribosomal RNA". It matches the Rfam family "Bacterial small subunit ribosomal RNA", at positions 28 to 508 of the family's 1533-position model. The record is from RNAcentral.